Molecule: long non-coding RNA, 383 nt
Filed under: Salmo salar (Atlantic salmon)
Lineage: Eukaryota; Metazoa; Chordata; Actinopteri; Salmoniformes; Salmonidae
Description: lncRNA (ENSSSAG00000098989.1)
Source: RNAcentral
GAAGAGUUACGGUACUCUACUCCAUGUGUUGGUGGUGUCUGACAGAGGAGAUAUAAAGGUAUCUAUUAGAAGACUUACGGUACUCUACUCCAUGUGUUGGUGGUGUCUGACAGAGGAGAUAUAAAGGUAUCUAUUAGAAGAGUUACGGUACUCUACUCAAUCUGUCUAUAUUUAUCUCAAUGUGUUUUUUCCAACCCACUUUCCACUAGUCCAGGGGAAAAUCACUAUGACCAGAACAGAUGGUAAAAAGUGUAAUCUCUCCCUUCCUUUUUCUCUCUCUCUCCUUUUCUCCCCUGUCUCUCUCUCUCUCUCUCUCUCUCUCUCUCUCUCUCUCUCUCUCUGUCUCUCUCUCUCUCUCUCUCUCUCUCGCUCUCUCUCUCGCU